Molecule: transfer RNA, 95 nt
Organism: Candida tropicalis MYA-3404
Lineage: Eukaryota; Fungi; Ascomycota; Pichiomycetes; Serinales; Debaryomycetaceae
Rfam family: tRNA
About the family: Transfer RNA (tRNA) molecules are approximately 80 nucleotides in length. Their secondary structure includes four short double-helical elements and three loops (D, anti-codon, and T loops).
Source: Rfam
UCCUUUAUAGUGUAGUGGCUAUCACGGUUCGCUUUCAAGUUCUUCAAGAAUUAAAAAGUUCCGAGCAGACCGGGGUUCGAUUCCCCGUAAGGGAG